Molecule: long non-coding RNA, 1135 nt
Filed under: Equus asinus (donkey)
Lineage: Eukaryota; Metazoa; Chordata; Mammalia; Perissodactyla; Equidae
Description: lncRNA (ENSEASG00005037769.1)
Source: RNAcentral
CUUUUUACACCAUCCUUUCACCUUCCUGUGCCGCAUCAGACAGUGCGCCCUGCUAUUUAUAGGGUUUUCGUGGCCAAUUCUUUUGGAAUUGGGUGGCCAGGUCCUUCUUUCUAGUCUGUCUAGUCUGGAAGCUCCACUGAAACCUGUCCACGACGGGUGACCCUGCUGGUAUUUGAAAUGCCGGUGGCAGAGCUGUCAGCAUCACAGCCACAUGCAGCUGCCACGGUGUGACACCUGACAGACAGGGGUGCGGUUCCCUGACUGGGAAACAAACCCCAGGCGGUGGUGGUGAGAGUGCAGGGUCUCAACCACGAGACCACCAGGGCUGGCUCAGAAAGGGAUGAGGGCAGUGUGAAAACAGGAUGACCAAGAAGAGGAGCCUCCAGAUGGAAGGGUUCCUGACUCCUCGGGGAGAGACCAGCACCUCAGCAGGUGAAAAUUCAUCAAUUUGUACCGGUUAUUAUACGUCAGCUGUACCUCAAAAGAAUCAGUAGAGAGAGAAUGCCAAGAAGAUGCAAUAGUAGGAAGUAGAAGAAAAUGAAAGCAAAAUCCAGCAAGAUACCUCCCGCCAAUAAAAAUAUGGACACUGAGAAUUCCAGAAGUAAACAGAUUUGCCCAUCCAUCAGAGCAUAGACAAUAAACGCCACGGUCUUUACUACUCCCUCACUCCCGAGAAGUACAGCGCACCAGACAGAAAUGCUUUUGGCUGCAGAUAACAGAAUGCCAGCUAAUAAAAACUUCAGAAACAGAAGCGUUCAGUUACUGAACUUAACUAGGAGCGGGAAGGCAGGCAACUCCCAGGUUUGUUGCGAGUGCCAACAGUGUCACCAAGCACCCAGCCAUCCUCAGCUUACUGGUUUUCGAGCUUCGUGAGUGUGGUCAUAGAAGGCUGCCACAGCUCUGGGCAUCCCGAGCAAAUGCCAGUGGCGAGCCCGAGGGCACUCUGCUUGCCCCCUGCAGCUCAGCCCGGCUUCAUACAGAUCCUCUGGCUUGUCUGCUGGCCGCUGUGUUGCGAUGACAGAGAAGAGCCCAGGGUGCCGGACAAAGUCUGGGGCUGGAGGCCGAUCCCUCGUCGUUCCUGCCCACGGUCUCACUGAGCGAGAGUCACGGAGGCUCUCUGCACCUCCAUUUCCUC